This 483-nucleotide ribosomal RNA is filed under the name uncultured bacterium. RNAcentral's name for it is "partial 16S ribosomal RNA". It matches the Rfam family "Bacterial small subunit ribosomal RNA", at positions 30 to 507 of the family's 1533-position model. The record is from RNAcentral.
AUUGAACGCUGGCGGCAGGCCUAACACAUGCAAGUCGAGCGGAUGAAGGGAGCUUGCUCCUGGAUUCAGCGGCGGACGGGUGGGUAAUGCCUAGGAAUCUGCCUGGUAGUGGGGGAUAACGUCCGGAAACGGGCGCUAAUACCGCAUACGUCCUGAGGGAGAAAGUGGGGGAUCUUCGGACCUCACGCUAUCAGAUGAGCCUAGGUCGGAUUAGCUAGUUGGUGGGGUAAAGGCCUACCAAGGCGACGAUCCGUAACUGGUCUGAGAGGAUGAUCAGUCACACUGGAACUGAGACACGGUCCAGACUCCUACGGGAGGCAGCAGUGGGGAAUAUUGACAAUGGGCGGAAGCCUGAUCCAGCCAUGCCGCGUGUGUGAAGAAGGUCUUCGGAUUGUAAAGCACUUUAAGUUGGGAGGAAGGGCAGUAAGUUAAUACCUUGCUGUUUUGACGUUACCAACAGAAUAAGCACCGGCUAACUUCGUG